RNAcentral lists this ribosomal RNA (433 nucleotides) under uncultured bacterium. RNAcentral's name for it is "partial 16S ribosomal RNA". It matches the Rfam family "Bacterial small subunit ribosomal RNA", at positions 29 to 507 of the family's 1533-position model. The record is from RNAcentral.
AACGAACGCUGGCGGCAUGCCUAGCACAUGCAAGUCGAACGAGACCUUCGGGUCUAGUGGCGCACGGGUGCGUAACGCGUGGGAACCUGCCUUUGGGUUCGGAAUAACUCAGAGAAAUUUGAGCUAAUACCGGAUGAUGUCUUCGGCCCAAAGAUUUAUCGCCUUUAGAUGGGCCCGCGUUGGAUUAGCUAGUUGGUGGGGUAAAGGCCUACCAAGGCGACGAUCCAUAGCUGGUCUGAGAGGAUGAUCAGCCACACUGGGACUGAGACACGGCCCAGACUCCUACGGGAGGCAGCAGUGGGGAAUAUUGGACAAUGGGCGAAAGCCUGAUCCAGCAAUGCCGCGUGAGUGAUGAAGGCCUUAGGGUUGUAAAGCUCUUUUAACCGAGAUGAUAAUGACAGUAUCGGGAGAAUAAGCUCCGGCUAACUCCGUG